RNAcentral lists this ribosomal RNA (471 nucleotides) under uncultured bacterium. RNAcentral describes it as "bacterial SSU rRNA". It matches the Rfam family "Bacterial small subunit ribosomal RNA", at positions 355 to 825 of the family's 1533-position model. The record is from RNAcentral.
UGGGGAAUCUUGCGCAAUGGGCGAAAGCCUGACGCAGCGACGCCGCGUGAGUGAUGAAGGCCUUCGGGUUGUAAAGCUCUGUGGGGAGAGAAGAAUAAGUGCGGGCUAAUACUCCGCAUGAUGACGGUAUCUCCUUAGCAAGCACCGGCUAACUCUGUGCCAGCAGCCGCGGUAAGACAGAGGGUGCAAACGUUGUUCGGAAUUACUGGGCGUAAAGCGAGUGUAGGCGGUUUGGUAAGUCGGAUGUGAAAGCCCCGGGCUCAACCCGGGAAGUGCACUCGAUACUGCCAAGCUAGAGUAUCGGAGAGGUUGGUGGAAUUCUCGGUGUAGAGGUGAAAUUCGUAGAUAUCGAGAGGAACACCGGUGGCGAAGGCGGCCAACUGGACGAAUACUGACGCUGAGACUCGAAAGCGUGGGGAGCAAACAGGAUUAGAUACCCAAGUAGUCCCUGAGCGGGCUGGCAAGGCGCAU